This 378-nucleotide ribosomal RNA is filed under the name uncultured bacterium. Its description in RNAcentral is "bacterial SSU rRNA". It matches the Rfam family "Bacterial small subunit ribosomal RNA", at positions 30 to 416 of the family's 1533-position model. The record is from RNAcentral.
AUUGAACGCUGGCGGCAGGCUUAACACAUGCAAGUCGAGCGGAGACUUCGGUCUUAGCGGCGAACGGGUGAGUAAUACCUAGGAAUCUGCCUAUUAGUGGGGGAUAACGAAUCGAAAGGUUCGCUAAUACCGCAUACGUCCUACGGGAGAAAGGGGGGAGUCUUCGGACCUCUCGCUAAUAGAUGAGCCUAGGCCGGAUUAGCUAGUUGGUAGGGUAAAGGACCUACCAAGGCGACGAUCUGUAGCUGGUCGUGAGAGGAUGGCCAGCCACACUGGAACUGAGACACGGUCCAGACUCCUACGGGAGGCAGCAGUGGGGAAGUAUUGGACAAUGGGGGCGAACCCUGAUCCAGCCAUGCCGCGUGUGUGAAGAAGGCC